This 445-nucleotide ribosomal RNA is filed under the name uncultured bacterium. Its description in RNAcentral is "partial 16S ribosomal RNA". It matches the Rfam family "Bacterial small subunit ribosomal RNA", at positions 354 to 796 of the family's 1533-position model. The record is from RNAcentral.
GUGAGGAAUAUUGGUCAAUGGACGAGAGUCUGAACCGGCCAAGUAGCGUGAAGGAUGAAGGUCCUACGGAUUGUAAACUUCUUUUAUAAGGGAAUAAAACCUCCCACGUGUGGGAGCUUGUAUGUACCUUAUGAAUAAGCAUCGGCUAACUCCGUGCCAGCAGCCGCGGUAAUACGGAGGAUGCGAGCGUUAUCCGGAUCUAUUGGGUUUAAAGGGAGCGCAGACGGGUCGUUAAGUCAGCUGUGAAAGUUUGGGGCUCAACCUUAAAAUUGCAGUUGAUACUGGCGUCCUUGAGUGCGGUUGAAGUGUGCAGAAUUCGUGGUGUAGCGGUGAAAUGCUUAGAUAUCACGAAGAACUCCGAUUGCGAAGGCAGCACACUAAGCCGUAACUGACGUUCAUGCUCGAAAGUGUGGGUAUCAAACAGGAUUAGAUACCCGUGUAGUCC